UACCGAAUGUUCGACUUCUCUUUUCCCUUCUCCCUUUCUCUCUAGACUUGUCCGAAUCGCGGUCUUCUACCCUAAUUUCUAAGUCUGUAAUUUCCGUUUUUGGUGAAAUGGUAGGUAAAAUAUGGUUUUUUGUAGACGCAAUCGCGACGGUAAACCCGAGCUGUUGUUUAUAUCCUAAAUCUAGGUUAAUCUUCAUGGCGAGGGGAUUUUUUUGUGUGCUUUAAAACAACAGAUCUGGAAAUUCAAGUACGUUAUCUUCGUUUACAACCUGGCACUAAUUUCACAUGAUGUAGAUGUUAAAAGAGCUCCCGGAGGUGGUGCGCAGUUCAACGCCGGUGAACACAUUCUCGGAACUGUUUGACGAAAUGCCUUGCAUAAGAAAUUGCUUAGACAAUAAUGUGCAUCAUAUACUAAUUACCAUCGUGGCAGCUAAUUUCACAUGAUGUAGAUGUUAAUAGAAUACAAAUCAGUCCAAGGAUGUACAAAGCUAAGUAUCCUAUUCCUUUAGUUAUUUCAUACCUUGUAAUGUAUAUUUGUUUAUGUAUUUGCAUUCCUCUUUAAGAUUUUGUCUAAACUGGAAGAUUAUUUCAUCCUAUGAUUAUUUAUGUGAAUUAGGGUUUUGAUAUAACUAUGAGAUUAGGGUUUUUGCACUAAAUAUUUAACAUGCAACUGAUAAAACUGCUGUAUAAAUUCUGUUUUGUUGCUAGACAUUAAUCAAUUUUUUUUCUAGACUUUCUAAUAAUUAUUUACAUUUUUUUAAAUAUACUUUUGUGUUCAUACAUCGUUUUUAUAGUGUUUGCUCAAACUCAAUUAAAAAAAAAAAACUAUUUUAAAAACUGUUUGCUCAUUAUCAGCCAUUUUUUUACCUUACUUUUUAUUAAUUUAUUUAUAAUCAGUUUUUAUAGUUAUUUAGUUGCCAAUUUUUUAGUUGCAUUUGCUAUCUCUUGUAUGGAAAAUGAUGAAUAAGGAGGCCCACCUAGCUUUGUGGGAUCUUAGAAUGGGGAAAUAAGGGCAUCUUUAGUCUCUGGACUUGAAAAUUUGGUGGGAUCUAAGUUUUAAAGGAUUGAAUAGGCUCAGAUUCGCAGCACCACACAAAUCUUUGUAAGUGGAGGAUGGUUGUUGCCUAGUGGUUGAUCUCACAAUGGGAAAGGAAACCUAAUGACUGAUCUGAAUCUAUGAGUUUGCAGAAUGUGGAGGUGUCUGAUCCCUGAAGUUUUAAGACUGCAAAAGGUUGAAUUGAUGAUAAACUGUGGAAAACUGUACUAUUCUGAAUACAUUUAAUGCAUAAUGUACUCUUUACCUGAUAAUUCUUUUAAAGAUUGAUUCUUUUUCCUAAUGAUGAUUGAAUUACAUUGAUAUAUAUCAUACUUGGAAAUCAAUGACUUUAUUCUUCAAUCCAACCUUGAUAGAUAUAGUUGAAAAUACAAUGUGAACAUGUAAAGAAGGCUACUAACCUUUGAUAGAUAACUUUUUUAUCUAUUAAACAGACAGAUCUCCUUCUACAUUUGCCCUGGUUAGAAUUAUUAAUCCCACUUUCAUUUGUUUCUAGGAUAAGAUAUAAAGUUAUGUUGUUAUAUGCAGCAGUGUUGAUGUAUAUUGUCUUAAAAUUCUACAUCUGCACACAAUAUUGUCUUAAAAUUCUUCACUAUAAAAUCUAGAGGCUCAUUUAUAUAAUAAUACCCGUGGUUUCAAAAAAUUAUUGUGGUGUACAGAAUUUUAUUUUGUAAAAACUUUCAAGUUGUGUUGUAUCGACUACAGUGUUUUCUCACGACCAUGUUGAAGUCAACAUUAGCCAAAUUUUGCCAAAUUUUAUGUCAAAGUUAAUGCUUACAUCUUACUUUCCGCUUGCAGUUCCUGUUUCUACUCUGUAUUGUAAUUAAUUACAUGCUUUACCUUAGAGACUUUUAAUUUUGUAAAGAAAUUGCUAUUUAUUUCGUUAUUUACUUUGGAAGGAGGAAUAGAAAUAGCAAUCAAUGUAUUGAUCUUUCUUAUUCAAAUUGAAAUUUAGGGCAAGAAGACACAGAAAGAGUCAACACUGAGCCGGACUAAGCAGUUGACUGAAGAAGCUGAGCCAAGUAAACCAAAGCUUCAAAUAUACCUGGAUAUAUUUGGGGAGCAAUAUGGCAAGGUUGUAGUCUUAACCUUUCUUUUCAAGAGACCCUUCUUUAGUACUCAGGUGGUUUGAACUGGAUAGAUGAUGAAUUUGGGAGUGCAGAUUGCUAUCAAGAGGUUUAUAUAGAUGCUGAAUAGUGUCUUUCAAAAUUGAAGACUUUCUUGGAAUUAUGAAGGCUGCACAAAACGGUUCAACAUCCAAGAUUAAUUUGAAUUUACAGUGAUGUAUUUAUUAAUGCAAAUGGCGGAACAACUUCCCACAAAUUUGGGAAACGAAAAAGGUGGUUGAUAAUAGAUGUAGUAUUUAAUUCAAAUACAAACACAUUUAUUUUAAAGAUAAAGCUAAUCCGAAUUCUUUGAGCGCAA
Molecule: long non-coding RNA, 2478 nt
Organism: Ipomoea nil (Japanese morning glory)
Lineage: Eukaryota; Viridiplantae; Streptophyta; Magnoliopsida; Solanales; Convolvulaceae
Exons: 3
Source: RefSeq, a predicted model, not a curated record